UACCCUUUGUGACAUACCUAACUGUUGCUUCGGCGGGUUAGGGGGUCCCCCCGGGGACGCCCUCCCGGCCGCGCCCUCCUCCUCCGGGAGGGGUCGCGGCGCCCGCCGGAGGAUAACCAAACUCUGAUUUAACGACGUUUCUUCUGAGUGGCACAAGCAAAUAAUUAAAACUUUUAACAACGGAUCUCUUGGUUCUGGCAUCGAUGAAGAACGCAGCGAAAUGCGAUAAGUAAUGUGAAUUGCAGAAUUCAGUGAAUCAUCGAAUCUUUGAACGCACAUUGCGCCCGCCAGCAUUCUGGCGGGCAUGCCUGUUCGAGCGUCAUUUCAACCCUCAAGCUUCGCUUGGUGUUGGGGCACUACGGUUGACGUAGGCCCUCAAAAGUAGUGGCGGACCCUCCCGGAGCCUCCUUUGCGUAGUAACUAACGUCUCGCAUCGGGAUCCGGAGGGACUCUUGCCGUAAAACCCCCUAACUUUUAACUGGUUGACCUCGGAUCAGGUAGGAAUACCCGCUGAACUUAAGCAUAUCAAUAAAG
This 534-nucleotide ribosomal RNA is filed under the name Colletotrichum sublineola. Its description in RNAcentral is "eukaryotic LSU rRNA". The stretch from base 169 to 322 matches the Rfam family "5.8S ribosomal RNA". The record is from RNAcentral. Lineage: Eukaryota; Fungi; Ascomycota; Sordariomycetes; Glomerellales; Glomerellaceae.